ACUUAGUUCCGUUUCCGUUCCAUUUUCAUCCCUACUCACUCCCAAGGAGAGUGGCAGACGGUGGCGGCGGCCCAGAUCUGCGUCCUCUCUCGAGCAACUCGACUGCGGCAAGUCGGUGUUGGCAUCCUCGCCUCCUCCCCAUCUCUGGCUCUAGGAGCAGCUCGCAGGUAUACUCCCUUGAGAUCCGUACUCCCUUACUCCUACCACUCAUGAUCCGGAUCCAGCAGUAGCUCCGGUGGCGGGCUCCUAAACUCCUUCCCCUCUCAAGUUCAACAGCAAGGUACACUGCUCCCACUCCCCUCCCCCAUAUCUCUCCUCCAAAUUUGUAUAUGUAAUGGCCGCUAGCUACAAAUCUCACCAUGUUCGUGUUCUAUCUAAUAUGCAACUCUCUAGUGUGCCUGUCAGAAUUCCUGCACUAAAUUUAUUUCACAACCAAUAAUUAAAAACAGCUAGUUGUGUGUUCUGUACUAAUUGCAGGAGAUGGCUGGUGUACUAAUUAAUCUAUCUCAUUGUGUGCCAGCUAGAGAUCCCACAAUACAAGAUUUUAAUUUAUGCUGGUUUGCCAUGCUUGAGUCUUCAGGUAUGCUGAUUUGCCAUGCUCUAGGUUAGAUCUAUCAAUUUGGAUGAAAUUAGAGAAACACUACAAUCAACCAGAUGACCUUUUUCGUGUUCCAUCAUAUAAGAAGCUGGAGCCCUAGAAGCAUGAACCACUAUAUGAAAUUGUAGAUAGCAUUAUUAGUGACUCAUUCUAGUUGUUGCAAUAAGAAAAAACGCAUUUGGUUAUUUUCAGUACCUCUGGAGACGCCUCAUACCUGUUAGAAUAUAGAUGAAAAGACCGGAGUAUCCUUUUUGGGAAUAAAAGAUUAUUCAAUGGGUAAGUAUCUCCCUGCUGGAUCUAUGGGGGAUUGUUCUUAUUCCCCAUCAUUAUGCAUGUGAUGGUACAUACAUGAACAUAAUGUAUUUGUAAUCUGUUGUGAAUCCUACGUGACCAUGGUCGAGAGUUGUUUCAGAAUUCUUACUGAAUUGUAAACCAACUAAAUCGUGCUCAUUCUACACAUAAAAAGGUGUCACCAGGUGCUAAUCUCGACGAUGAAUAUGUGAAGACUAAUGAGUUGUGAUUCUCCUUUUUAUUUAUUUUGUCCGCUUGUAUCUCAAACAAAUGAUGUGACUAAUAUAAAAGAUAGUAGAGCUUACAAACAGUUCAUCUCAGCCUUAAAAGAAUUUAUCAUUUAUCGAAACAAAACUGCAAAUAUUUGCACCAAGAAUAGUUUUGUCAUUCUCAAGUGAUAUUUCUGAUAAUAAAUGAUGUGACUAAUCUGGAAGACAGUAGAGCUUACAAGCAGUUCAUCUCGGCCUUAAAAGAAAUUAUCAUUUGACCUGCCGGCUGUCUGUUGUGACCUCUCAGUUUCAUGAUUAACUGGACCAGAGAUUUGUUCCUGCGAGUCAAAUGCAUUGUUGAUGCAUAUUCAGUCGAUUAGCUCACAAGUAAAUAUUUGAAGUAUGAAUGUAUGACACUUACAUGAUCUUGUGCUCAAACUGACUUGUAUUUGCUUCAGUGUGGUCCUUCCCAGCAAGAAGCACUACAACUGGAGGUAGAAGCUAGAGCUCUUUUUUCAUGUACGUCAAGAAAUCAAAAGUUGAUGCAAAUUUUGACAGCAAUGUGUGUUCAAGAGUGAUCACCUUCAUACUCGGUCUUGUUGGUCAUGGACUAAAAAUUAUCAUGUUAUGUUAUGUGUAAACUUGAUAUGUAUGUAUAUCUAUGGUGUGCCUGAGAUGCUCCAGUUUGGCAUGCACUACGAAUUUUGUGCCUAGGAUGGUCCACUGACUCAAAUAUUUGUGCUUGGGGUGACUAGAAAUGAUCAUGUCAUGUAUAACUUGAUAUGUAUGCCUGGGAUGCUCGAGUUUGACAAGUACGCAAAGAAGUUCUGCCUAGGAUGUUCAAGUUGCUUCAAUACUUGUGCUUGUGAUGGUCCAUUUUGAAAUGUACUCAUAUUUGUGCUGAGAUCGUCCAGUUUGACAUUGACAUGUACGCGAAAUAUUUGUGCAUGGGAUUGUCCAGCUUGACAUGUACUGACCAACAUAUUUUCUUGCAUAAUUAGUGAUAUAAUAAAAGCCAACAUUUUCUACUUAAAUAUACAUGCAGUACAUCUGUGCAAAGAGGGG
This 2163-nucleotide long non-coding RNA is filed under the name Triticum aestivum (bread wheat). RNAcentral describes it as "long non-coding RNA (TAES_LNC020606)". The record is from RNAcentral. Lineage: Eukaryota; Viridiplantae; Streptophyta; Magnoliopsida; Poales; Poaceae.